AAUGAACAGCAGAAAUGGUGCUUUAUGCUAAGGAAGAACUUGGAGAUGUGGAACAGAUGGCUUGUUGUCUGUUUCUAUUUUGAGCAUGACUAUGAGCAAUGGAUCCAAUUAUAUAACUGGAAGGGGAGAACCAUCUAAGACAUUUGUGGUUGAUGAGGUUGACUGUGGAGCCACAGAUUGGCACCAGGUGCACUGCCAGUUCCGGCAAUCUUGUAGUACCUGCUCAGAAGUAGCCAUGGUAACCAUGGGUAACUCCAAGAAUCAUACCCUAGACCUUCACUGGGAAAGGAAGUGAGAAGUGGCUACCACCAAGCCCAGCAGAUGGUUUCUAUCGUCAUUACAGACAAUAUGGAUAUGAACACUUUACCUUCAUUACAAAAGACUGAAUAAUUUAAAAAGACCUUCAGUUUUUAAUCCCUCUGUCAAAGAAAGAUUAAAUACUCACUUGAUGUUUAGUUAAAUAAUGAGUUAAAUAAAUAGUGAGUAUUUAGUUAAAUACUCACUCACUUGAUU
This 513-nucleotide long non-coding RNA is filed under the name Bos taurus (domestic cattle). RNAcentral describes it as "long non-coding RNA NONBTAT006785". Lineage: Eukaryota; Metazoa; Chordata; Mammalia; Artiodactyla; Bovidae. The record is from RNAcentral.